GAUGAACGCUAGCUACAGGCUUAACACAUGCAAGUCGAGGGGCAGCAUGAACUUAGCUUGCUAAGUUUGAUGGCGACCGGCGCACGGGUGAGUAACACGUAUCCAACCUGCCGAUGACUCGGGGAUAGCCUUUCGAAAGAAAGAUUAAUACCCGAUGGCAUAGUUCUUCCGCAUGGUAGAACUAUUAAAGAAUUUCGGUCAUCGAUGGGGAUGCGUUCCAUUAGGUUGUUGGCGGGGUAACGGCCCACCAAGCCUUCGAUGGAUAGGGGUUCUGAGAGGAAGGUCCCCCACAUUGGAACUGAGACACGGUCCAAACUCCUACGGGAGGCAGCAGUGAGGAAUAUUGGUCAAUGGACGAGAGUCUGAACCAGCCAAGUAGCGUGAAGGAUGACUGCCCUAUGGGUUGUAAA
Molecule: ribosomal RNA, 410 nt
Filed under: uncultured bacterium
Lineage: Bacteria
Description: bacterial SSU rRNA
Rfam family: Bacterial small subunit ribosomal RNA
Source: RNAcentral